UGUGGGAGCGGGCUUGCUCGCGAUGGCGGUGUUUCAGUCUGAGUUGCAUUAACUGACCCACAGCCAUCGCGGGCAAGCCCGCUCCCACA
Molecule: unclassified non-coding RNA, 89 nt
Filed under: Pseudomonas gessardii
Lineage: Bacteria; Pseudomonadati; Pseudomonadota; Gammaproteobacteria; Pseudomonadales; Pseudomonadaceae
Source: RNAcentral